AACGAACGCUGGCGGCAUGCCUAACACAUGCAAGUCGAACGAGACCUUCGGGUCUAGUGGCGCACGGGUGCGUAACGCGUGGGAACCUGCCCUUAGGUUCGGAAUAACUCCCCGAAAGGGGUGCUAAUACCGGAUAAUGUCUUCGGACCAAAGAUUUAUCGCCUUUGGAUGGGCCCGCGUUGGAUUAGCUAGUUGGUAGGGUAAAAGCCUACCAAGGCGACGAUCCAUAGCUGGUCUGAGAGGAUGAUCAGCCACACUGGGACUGAGACACGGCCCAGACUACUACGGGAGGCAGCAGUGGGGAAUAUUGGACAAUGGGCGAAAGCCUGAUCCAGCAAUGCCGCGUGAGUGAUGAAGGCCUUAGGGUUGUAAAGCGCUUUUACCCGGGAUGAUAAUGACAGUGCCGGGAGAAUAAGCUCCGGCUAACUCCGUG
This 433-nucleotide ribosomal RNA is filed under the name uncultured bacterium. Its description in RNAcentral is "partial 16S ribosomal RNA". It matches the Rfam family "Bacterial small subunit ribosomal RNA", at positions 29 to 507 of the family's 1533-position model. The record is from RNAcentral.